CCCGCACAAGCGGUGGAGCAUGUGGUUUAAUUCGAUGCAACGCGAAGAACCUUACCUGGGCUUGACAUCCCGGGAAUCCCUUGGAAACAAGGGAGUGCCCUUCGGGGAACCUGGAGACAGGUGCUGCAUGGCUGUCGUCAGCUCGUGUCGUGAGAUGUAGGGUUAAGUCCCGCAACGAGCGCAACCCCUAUUGUUAGUUGCCAUCAUUCAGUUGGGCACUCUAGCGAGACUGCCGGUAAUAAACCGGAGGAAGGUGGGGAUGACGUCAAAUCAUCAUGCCCCUUAUGACCUGGGCUACACACGUGCUACAAUGGUUGGUACAACGAGUUGCGAGUCGGUGACGGCGAGCUAAUCUCUUAAAGCCAAUCUCAGUUCGGAUUGUAGGCUGCAACUCGCCUACAUGAAGUCGGAAUCGCUAGUAAUCGCGGAUCAGCACGCCGCGGUGAAUACGUUCCCGGGCCUU
RNAcentral lists this ribosomal RNA (463 nucleotides) under uncultured Smithella sp. RNAcentral's name for it is "bacterial SSU rRNA". It matches the Rfam family "Bacterial small subunit ribosomal RNA", at positions 920 to 1382 of the family's 1533-position model. The record is from RNAcentral. Lineage: Bacteria; Pseudomonadati; Thermodesulfobacteriota; Syntrophia; Syntrophales; Smithellaceae.